UACAUGCAAGUCGAGCGAACAGAUGAGGAGCUCGCUCCUUUGACGUUAGCGGCGGACGGGUGAGUAACACGUGGAUAACCUACCUAUAAGACUGGGAUAACUUCGGGAAACCGGAGCUAAUACCGGAUAAUAUAUUGAACCGCAUGGUUCAAUAGUGAAAGACGGUCUUCAUGUCACUUAUAGAUGGAUCCGCGCCGCAUUAGGUAGUUGGUAAGGUAACGGCUUACCAAGGCAACGAUACGUAGCCGACCUGAGAGGGUGAUCGGCCACACUGGAACUGAGACACGGUCCAGACUCCUACGGGAGGCAGCAGUAGGGAAUCUUCCGCAAUGGGCGAAAGCCUGACGGAGCAACGCCGCGCGAGUGAUGAAGGUCUUCGGAUAGUAAAACUGUCUUAUCAGGGAAGAACAAAUGUGUAAGUAACUGUGCACGUCUUGACGGUACCUGAUCAGAAAGCCCCGGCUAACUACGUGCCAGCAGCCGCGGUAAUACGUAGGUGGCAAGCGUUAUCCGGAAUUAUUGGGCGUAAAGCGCGCGUAGGCGGUUUUUUAAGUCUGAUGUGAAAGCCCACGGCUCAACCGUGGAGGGUCAUUGGAAACUGGAAAACUUGAGUGCAGAAGAGGAAAGUGGAAUUCCAUGUGUAGCGGUGAAAUGCGCAGAGAUAUGGAGGAACACCAGUGGCGAAGGCAGACUCUCUGGUCCUGUAAUUUAGUCUGAUGU
RNAcentral lists this ribosomal RNA (720 nucleotides) under bacterium AIR-NUS-12. Its description in RNAcentral is "bacterial SSU rRNA". It matches the Rfam family "Bacterial small subunit ribosomal RNA", at positions 52 to 752 of the family's 1533-position model. The record is from RNAcentral.